Molecule: microRNA precursor, 103 nt
Filed under: Marmota monax (woodchuck)
Lineage: Eukaryota; Metazoa; Chordata; Mammalia; Rodentia; Sciuridae
Source: RNAcentral
AGUGCGAUAGCUGGGUCAAAUGGUGGAAUCAUUCCCAGCUUUCUCAGGUAUCGCCAUACUGCUUUCCAAAUUGGCUUUACCAAUUUGCAGUCCCACCAGCAGU